Molecule: ribosomal RNA, 253 nt
Filed under: uncultured bacterium
Lineage: Bacteria
Description: partial 16S ribosomal RNA
Rfam family: Bacterial small subunit ribosomal RNA
Source: RNAcentral
UACAGAGGGUGCAAGCGUUAAUCGGAAUUACUGGGCGUAAAGCGUGCGCAGGCGGUUUUGUAAGUUUGUCGUGAAAGCCCCGGGCUCAACCUGGGAAUUGCGAUGAAGACUGCAAGGCUAGAGUGUGUCAGAGGGGGGUAGAAUUCCACGUGUAGCAGUGAAAUGCGUAGAUAUGUGGAGGAACACCGAUGGCGAAGGCAGCCCCCUGGGAUAACACUGACGCUCAUGCACGAAAGCGUGGGGAGCAAACAGG